Molecule: unclassified non-coding RNA, 197 nt
Filed under: fungal sp.
Lineage: Eukaryota; Fungi
Description: partial internal transcribed spacer region
Rfam family: Eukaryotic small subunit ribosomal RNA (bases 1-46)
Source: RNAcentral
AAGUCGUAACAAGGUAACCGUAGGUGAACCUGCGGUUGGAUCAUUAACAACCAUAGUGAGGGUAGCGUAAGCUGCCCCCUCUUCAACACUGCCAACAGUCAUGUCCCUUGUGGAUUCGCGUCCACUUAAACCCCUUUGCCAGAGUAGUUGGGUAAAUGUUAAUUUUACAACUUUUGACAACGGAUCUCUUGGCUCUC